RNAcentral lists this ribosomal RNA (497 nucleotides) under uncultured bacterium. RNAcentral describes it as "partial 16S ribosomal RNA". It matches the Rfam family "Bacterial small subunit ribosomal RNA", at positions 28 to 507 of the family's 1533-position model. The record is from RNAcentral.
GAUGAACGCUGGCGGCGUGCCUAAUACAUGCAAGUCGAGCGAACAGAUAAGGAGCUUGCUCCUUUGACGUUAGCGGCGGACGGGUGAGUAACACGUGGAUAACCUACCUAUAAGACUGGGAUAACUUCGGGAAACCGGAGCUAAUACCGGAUAACAUAUUGAACCGCAUGGUUCAAUAGUGAAAGGCGGCUUUGCUGUCACUUAUAGAUGGAUCCGCGCCGUAUUAGCUAGUUGGUAAGGUAACGGCUUACCAAGGCAACGAUACGUAGCCGACCUGAGAGGGUGAUCGGCCACACUGGAACUGAGAUACGGUCCAGACUCCUACGGGAGGCAGCAGUAGGGAAUCUUCCGCAAUGGGCGAAAGCCUGACGGAGCAACGCCGCGUGAGUGAUGAAGGUCUUCGGAUCGUAAAACUCUGUUAUCAGGGAAGAACAAAUGUGUAAGUAACUGUGCACAUCUUGACGGUACCUGAUCAGAAAGCCACGGCUAACUACGUG